CCUACGGGCGGCAGCAGUAGGGAAUCUUCCACAAUGGGCGAAAGCCUGAUGGAGCAACGCCGCGUGGGUGAAGAAGGUCUUCGGAUCGUAAAACCCUGUUGUUAGAGAAGAAAGUGCGUGAGAGUAACUGUUCACGUUUCGACGGUAUCUAACCAGAAAGCCACGGCUAACUACGUGCCAGCAGCCGCGGUAAUACGUAGGUGGCAAGCGUUAUCCGGAUUUAUUGGGCGUAAAGGGAACGCAGGCGGGCUUUUAAGUCUGAUGGGAAAGCCUUCGGCUUAACCGGAGUAGUGCAUUGGAAACUGGGAGACUUGAGUGCAGAAGAGGAGAGUGGAACUCCAUGUGUAGCGGUGAAAUGCGUAGAUAUAUGGAAGAACACCAGUGGCGAAAGUGGCUCUCUGGUCUGUAACUGACGCUGAGGUUCGAAAGCGUGGGUAGCAAACAGGAUUAGAUACCCUAGUAGUC
RNAcentral lists this ribosomal RNA (465 nucleotides) under uncultured bacterium. RNAcentral describes it as "partial 16S ribosomal RNA". It matches the Rfam family "Bacterial small subunit ribosomal RNA", at positions 338 to 795 of the family's 1533-position model. The record is from RNAcentral.